Molecule: transfer RNA, 82 nt
Filed under: Dreissena polymorpha
Lineage: Eukaryota; Metazoa; Mollusca; Bivalvia; Myida; Dreissenidae
Description: tRNA-Ser
Rfam family: tRNA
About the family: Transfer RNA (tRNA) molecules are approximately 80 nucleotides in length.
Source: RNAcentral
GUUAUCGUGGCCGAGUGGUUAAGGAAAUAGACUAGAAAUUAUUUGGGAUCUUCCCGCGCAUGUUCGAAUCCUGCCGACAACG